UACGUAGGGUGCGAGCGUUGUCCGGAAUUAUUGGGCGUAAAGGGCUCGUAGGCGGUUUGUCGCGUCGGGAGUGAAAACACCGGGCUUAACUCGGUGCUUGCUUUCGAUACGGGCAGACUAGAGGUAUGCAGGGGAGAACGGAAUUCCUGGUGUAGCGGUGAAAUGCGCAGAUAUCAGGAGGAACACCGGUUGCGAAGGCGGUUCUCUGGGCAUUACCUGACGCUGAGGAGCGAAAGUGUGGGGAGCGAACAGG
Molecule: ribosomal RNA, 253 nt
Filed under: uncultured bacterium
Lineage: Bacteria
Description: partial 16S ribosomal RNA
Rfam family: Bacterial small subunit ribosomal RNA
Source: RNAcentral